AUGGAUCUUAGGCUAACAAGGAAAGCCAGGGGAAAGAUUCUUGGGACUUCAGCUGUUAAAGCCAGUUUAGUUAUAGUGGCAAUUGCCAGCCUUACAUUUUUUGUAGUGCUCCCCCGAAUCAUAAGUGAGAAAGGAAAGCUAACAGCCGGUGAAAGUGCUUUGUUCUCGUAUGAGAAAGCAAGUUCAAGUCAGCAUGCUUUGAGAAACUAG
Non-coding RNA from Vicia faba (fava bean), 210 nucleotides. The record is from the annotation of a GenBank genome assembly. Lineage: Eukaryota; Viridiplantae; Streptophyta; Magnoliopsida; Fabales; Fabaceae.